UACGGAGGGUGCAAGCGUUAUCCGGAUUUACUGGGUUUAAAGGGUGCGCAGGCGGAUAUGUAAGUCAGUGGUGAAAUCUCUAGGCUUAACCUGGAAAUUGCCGUUGAUACUAUAUAUCUUGAAUGCUGUGGAGGUAAGCGGAAUAUGUCAUGUAGCGGUGAAAUGCUUAGAUAUGACAUAGAACACCCAUUGCGAAGGCAGCUUACUACGCAGAUAUUGACGCUCAUGCACGAAAGCGUGGGGAGCAAACAGG
RNAcentral lists this ribosomal RNA (253 nucleotides) under uncultured bacterium. RNAcentral describes it as "partial 16S ribosomal RNA". It matches the Rfam family "Bacterial small subunit ribosomal RNA", at positions 524 to 776 of the family's 1533-position model. The record is from RNAcentral.